This 450-nucleotide ribosomal RNA is filed under the name uncultured bacterium. Its description in RNAcentral is "bacterial SSU rRNA". It matches the Rfam family "Bacterial small subunit ribosomal RNA", at positions 354 to 796 of the family's 1533-position model. The record is from RNAcentral.
GUGGGGAAUAUUGGACAAUGGGCGAAAGCCUGAUCCAGCCAUGCCGCGUGUGUGAAGAAGGUCUUCGGAUUGUAAAGCACUUUAAGUUGGGAGGAAGGGCAGUAAGUUAAUACCUUGCUGUUUUGACGUUACCGACAGAAUAAGCACCGGCUAACUUCGUGCCAGCAGCCGCGGUAAUACGAAGGGUGCAAGCGUUAAUCGGAAUUACUGGGCGUAAAGCGCGCGUAGGUGGUUUUGUAAGUUGGAGGGGAAAUCCCCGGGCUCAACCUGGGAACUGCCUCCAAAACUGCAUGACUAGAGUACGGUAGAGGGUAGUGGAAUUUCCUGUGUAGCGGUGAAAUGCGUAGAUAUAGGAAGGAACACCAGUGGCGAAGGCGACUACCUGGACUGAUACUGACACUGAGGUGCGAAAGCGUGGGGAGCAAACAGGAUUAGAAACCCGUGUAGUCC